UACGUAGGGUGCAAGCGUUAAUCGGAAUUACUGGGCGUAAAGCGUGCGCAGGCGGUGAUGUAAGACAGAUGUGAAAUCCCAGGGCUCAACCUUGGAACUGCAUUUGUGACUGCAUCGCUGGAGUGCGGCAGAGGGGGAUGGAAUUCCGCGUGUAGCAGUGAAACGCGUAGAUAUGCGGAGGAACACCGAUGGCGAAGGCAAUCCCCUGGGCCUGCACUGACGCUCAUGCACGAAAGCGUGGGGAGCAAACAGG
This 253-nucleotide ribosomal RNA is filed under the name uncultured bacterium. RNAcentral describes it as "partial 16S ribosomal RNA". It matches the Rfam family "Bacterial small subunit ribosomal RNA", at positions 524 to 776 of the family's 1533-position model. The record is from RNAcentral.